Molecule: long non-coding RNA, 1607 nt
Organism: Oncorhynchus tshawytscha (Chinook salmon)
Lineage: Eukaryota; Metazoa; Chordata; Actinopteri; Salmoniformes; Salmonidae
Source: Ensembl
UUGUAUUCACAUAAGUACUUUAAUCAGGCACUUUGACAAGAAGAAAAAAACAUCUGGCACAUCAGGGAAGAUAUAUGAUAUGCGUAGACAUUCGGGGGAACAUGUAUACUAUGGGCUACAUUCGGUAAGAAAGAGGAUGUAAAAUUGUAUAAAUAACAAACUGUAGAAACUGGUGAAUGGACAAAGUAAAAGCUCAAAACAACAUGAUAUCCCAGCUUCUUAAUUUCAGACAUAUAUAGCCUUGUGUUUUAGGGGCAAUUUAACAUGGCUUAACAAACACUUUUAAAGGUUUCUAAGUUGGAGUGAGUGCGUCCCAAAUGGCACCCGAUUCUCUACAUGGUGCACUACUUUUAUAGCACACUAUAGGGAAUAAAGUGCUAUUUGGAAUAUAGCGUCUGUGUCUCAAGGUAUUACUGUAGUUUCUCAGAGCCAAUAAAGGUAACGUUUCUUCAACUAACAUGUUCACAAUUCAAAAUGGCAUGAAGGCUCACAAACUGUCAGGCUAGAAGAAGCUCCAAUGUGACAAAUGAAGGAAAAUGUCACACAGGUCUACAUGGGUUGCGUCCUAAAUGGCACCCUAUUCCUUAUUUAGUGAACUAAUGUAUAGGGAAGUGCACUCCUUUUGCGGAGAAAAAGACCCCCAUAGGGCCCUGGUCAAAAGUAGUGCACUAUAUAGGGAAAUUGGUGUUAUGUUAUGGUACCAAGAAAUGGUGCAUCGUCAGACACUAGUUAUUAGCCAGUUACACCUAACUAUUAGUGAAAACUAAUAAUACUGUAAAUUAACAAUACUGAUAAUUUAAAAUACUGUAGCUCAGAGAAGGAACUAAGAGAAAACUAAAAAGCAACGCCAGCAUUUUAGUUAGUGCUCUGGUCUCAGUCCUGCAUGUGAUUUGAAAAGCAGUAUUUCAGAGAUUAAUCUGGCUAUGUGCAACACAAUGUCCCCUGCAAAGAAAUUAUGAAAAUAUCUGUUGCAACGAGCUCCUCCUGGUUCAGAAUGCUGGAGAGAAUCCCAUCGAUACUAAGAUGAACUUAGUGAGCUACAGUCUGUCAGACGGACACACACAACCCCUACUCAAACCUCAAGAGGUACACAGACAACCCCUACUCAAACCUCAAGAGGUACACAUACAACCCCUACUCAAACCUAAAGAGGUACACACACAACCCCUACUCAAACCUCAAGAGGUACACACACAACCCCUACUCAAACCUCAAGAGGUAUACACACAACCCCUACUCAAACCUCAAGAGGUACACACAACCCCUACUCAAACCUCAAGAGGUACACACACAACCCCUACUCAAACCUCAGGGUUGUCCACAAAGAAUGUAAGCGGGGCGCUGCGCCACAAUGUGUACUGGCUGUGUCACUAUAUAUAUAUAUAUAUAUAUAUAAAUAAAAUAAAUUGGUUUACCCCACCGUACUCAGCAGCACCACCUUGUUAAAAAAAUCCUGGGGAGAAUUCAAACCUCACAGGUCACACACAACCCCUACUCAAACCUCAUGUCAGCUGUUUUGUCUUCUGUCUGUCUGGAUGGUUCGACUACCACUACAAUAACAACUAGACCUGUCUGUCUGGAUGGUAAGACUGCCACUACAAUAACAA